Molecule: long non-coding RNA, 1825 nt
Organism: Planococcus citri (citrus mealybug)
Lineage: Eukaryota; Metazoa; Arthropoda; Insecta; Hemiptera; Pseudococcidae
Exons: 5
Source: RefSeq, a predicted model, not a curated record
CAUGAUCUCAGCAGUUGGCAAUAGGUGCAAUCGAGUGAAAAGGGUCUAAAAGUUCAUGUGACAAGGGCUACUUUAGCAAUGAGCUCCUCAUAUCUAAUAUUAAGUUAUUCUGUUUUAAAAUAAUUUUUAAAUUAAAAAACUUCAAAAGUUUUUGUUUGGGGUUGUUCACUGUUGCCCUGUCAUCUGUAAACAAAUGAAAUACGAAACUCAACACGGUCAUGUAACUAUUUAUUAUUGUCAUUUGCCCGAAUACUGUCAAUUUGGUGGGCAUUCUACAGUAAGUAUGAAAAUUAAAAUGUUUUUUUCAAAAUUCAAAGCUUUUGUAUAAUUUUUUCUUUAAUUUCAAUUUUCAAAGUUCAUAAACAUUUCAAUUCCAAAAUCAGUGUUACCAUUAAAUUCGCCAUUUUGUUGGUGACAAAUUUUGUUUUUCCAGUUUAUUUGUGGCGUGAUUUUUCGGCAAAGUGUUUCUUGCGCGUUUUCGAGAAUAAUUAAUUAAUUUCGGGUAAUUAAUGUGUUCUAUUUUUCGCAAAUGGACGAAUUCCGUGCUACCCAUGCUACGUUAUGUGGUUAUGAUGUGAUCGACGAAAAAGAACGGUCAGAUUUAUUCGCAAAUCUGAUGAACCGGCUGCAGGAUUUGAGACGAUAGAUAUUGAUCUUGAUUCGAUGUUAUUCUUUGUGUUUCAAUGGAACUAAGUAAAAUUGAUCGUGUUACUUUCAUAAUUGAAUGGUAUUCUUACAAUGUACGUGUACUCAAAGGUAUGUUUAAUAAGCUACAAGUUCAUUUAACGUUCGCUGAGCACCACCGGAAAGACUACCACCUAUCACCAGCUUCAGUUUCACUCUUCGUAAUUGUCAACAAUAUGGAGGACCGAUGGCAGGUUGAUUCAUCUACCACUGAUUUCGAAGUGAUGAUUUGACCUUGCAGAACUACUGAUAUCGAAAUCAAUUUGAAAAUGGAAUCCAGCCAAUAGAUCACGAAAUAGAUUGAAAACAGAACUCGAAGAAAAAAAUGGAUUUUAACUUUAAGAUCACGAAAUCGAUUGAAAAUGAAACUCGAAGAAGAAAACGGAUUUCAACUUUGAGGUAAGCCAUCGAUAGUUUCAAAUUUUCAAUAAAUAUUUUUUCAAGUAUGCCAACAUUGUCUCGAAUUCUAAAAUCAAACUAUAAAAUAAUAAUAAAAAUACACCUUGGAAAAAUAUAUCACAAAAUUUAUUUUCCAUUACAUGUUUAAAAAUACAAAAUGAUUUCCGUUUUGUGUUUUAAUUAAAAAUUAAAUUAGAAUUUUGAUAAUCGUAAAAACGUAUUAUUGUUAAUCAUAUAAAGGCAGCGCAAAAAAACAUGAAAACCAAUCAUAAAUGUAAUAUUCGUCGCGUAACAACAUUAUUAACUAUCGUGUUACACUUAUCCAACGUACACACGGUUUCUUUUGGCAAAACAAUUUUUGGCAGUUUUUUUCAACUUUUUAACGAUUACACAAUAAACUCAGGAAAUCACAGACGUUAUACAUCAAAAAAUAAUAAAAGAAAAAUAAAAAGAAAGUUACAAAAAACAUCAUUAGGAAAAAAAGAAGAAAAAAAAACAGUUACUUAUACGAUAUUAAGUAUUAAAACCGAUUAAUAAGUUAAACAAUUCGUAAUUGAGAAAAAAAACAUUCGUAUUAUACAAGUUACAAUAACUAAAUCUACUGCAAAAAAAAAAUGACUUUAAAUGCAAAUCUUCCAGCGGUUGAGUAUAAUCGCUUCGAUUAAAAAAUAAUAUAAAAAAAAUAACUCACGCACGCACACUUAAUAAUUACACGCAAUAAAAAAACAAAACAAAAAAAAAA